RNAcentral lists this transfer RNA (69 nucleotides) under Ictidomys tridecemlineatus (thirteen-lined ground squirrel). RNAcentral describes it as "Spermophilus tridecemlineatus (thirteen-lined ground squirrel) tRNA". It matches the Rfam family "tRNA". From Rfam's summary of the family: Transfer RNA (tRNA) molecules are approximately 80 nucleotides in length. Their secondary structure includes four short double-helical elements and three loops (D, anti-codon, and T loops). Further hydrogen bonds mediate the characteristic L-shaped molecular structure. tRNAs have two regions of fundamental functional importance: the anti-codon, which is responsible for specific mRNA codon recognition, and the 3' end, to which the tRNAs corresponding amino acid is attached (by aminoacyl-tRNA synthetases). tRNAs cope with the degeneracy of the genetic code in two manners: having more than one tRNA (with a specific anti-codon) for a particular amino acid; and 'wobble' base-pairing, i.e. permitting non-standard base-pairing at the 3rd anti-codon position. The record is from Rfam by way of RNAcentral. Lineage: Eukaryota; Metazoa; Chordata; Mammalia; Rodentia; Sciuridae.
GGGGUUGUGGCUCAGCGGUAGAGCACUCACCUGGCACGUGUGAGGCCCUGAGUUCGAUCCUCGGCACCA